This 488-nucleotide ribosomal RNA is filed under the name uncultured bacterium. RNAcentral describes it as "bacterial SSU rRNA". It matches the Rfam family "Bacterial small subunit ribosomal RNA", at positions 28 to 507 of the family's 1533-position model. The record is from RNAcentral.
GACGAACGCUGGCGGCGUGGAUUAGGCAUGCAAGUCGAACGGUAUCAUCCUUUCGGGGGUGAGAGAGUGGCGAACUGGUGAGUAACACGUAGGUUAUCUACCCUCAAGACGGGGGACAACCCAGGGAAACUUGGGCUAAUACCGGAUGUGAGCAACUUUUAGUUGUUUGAAAGGUGGCGUAAGCUGUCGCUUGGGGAUGAGCCUGCGUCCUAUUAGUUAGUUGGUGAGGUAACGGCUCACCUAGGCAAUGAUAGGUAGGCGGCCUUAACGGGUGGUCGCCCACACUGGGAUUGAGAUACGGCCCAGACUCCUACGGGAGGCAGCAGUCGAGAAUAGUCUACAAUGGUCGGAAGACUGAUAGUGCGACGCCGCGUGAACGAUGAAUCCCUUCGGGGUGUAAAGUUCUUUUAUAUGUGAGCAGUGCUUCUUAUAUUAACAGUAUGGGGAGAGAGAUAUUAGCAUAUGAAUAAGCAACGGCUAACUCCGUG